AGUGAACGCUGGCGGUAGGCCUAACACAUGCAAGUCGAACGGCAGCACAGUAAGAGCUUGCUCUUACGGGUGGCGAGUGGCGGACGGGUGAGGAAUACAUCGGAAUCUACUUUUUCGUGGGGGAUAACGUAGGGAAACUUACGCUAAUACCGCAUACGACCUACGGGUGAAAGCAGGGGAUCUUCGGACCUUGCGCGAUUGAAUGAGCCGAUGUCGGAUUAGCUAGUUGGCGGGGUAAAGGCCCACCAAGGCGACGAUCCGUAGCUGGUCUGAGAGGAUGAUCAGCCACACUGGAACUGAGACACGGUCCAGACUCCUACGGGAGGCAGCAGUGGGGAAUAUUGGACAAAGGGCGCAAGCCUGAUCCAGCCAUACCGCGUGGGUGAAGAAGGCCUUCGGGUUGUAAAGCCCUUUUGUUGGGAAAGAAAAGCAGCAGGUUAAUACCCCGCUGUUCUGACGGUACCCCAAGAAUAAGCACCGGCUAACUUCGUG
RNAcentral lists this ribosomal RNA (492 nucleotides) under uncultured bacterium. Its description in RNAcentral is "partial 16S ribosomal RNA". It matches the Rfam family "Bacterial small subunit ribosomal RNA", at positions 29 to 507 of the family's 1533-position model. The record is from RNAcentral.